CUACGGGUGGCAGCAGUGAGGAAUAUUGGUCAAUGGGAGGAAUCCUGAACCAGCCAUGCCGCGUGCAGGACGACGGCUCUACGAGUUGUAAACUGCUUUUGUACCGGGGUAAAAUGCUCUACGAGUAGGGUUUUGAAAGUACGGUACGAAUAAGGAUCGGCUAACUCCGUGCCAGCAGCCGCGGUAAUACGGAGGAUCCGAGCGUUAUCCGGAUUUAUUGGGUUUAAAGGGAGCGUAGAUGGGUUGUUAAGUCAGUGGUGAAAGUUUGCGGCUCAACCGUAAAAUUGCAAUUGAUACUGGCAGCCUUGAGUACAGUUGAGGUAGGCGGAAUUCGUGGUGUAGCGGUGAAAUGCUUAGAUAUCACGAAGAACUCCGAUUGCGAAGGCAGCCUACUAAACUGCCACUGACAUUGAUGCUCGAAAGUGUGGGUAUCAAACAGGAUUAGAUACCCGGGUAGUC
Molecule: ribosomal RNA, 459 nt
Filed under: uncultured bacterium
Lineage: Bacteria
Description: partial 16S ribosomal RNA
Rfam family: Bacterial small subunit ribosomal RNA
Source: RNAcentral